AAGUAGGACUCGAAGAACAUCCAGUCUGUCGUUCCACGGCAAUAUGCAAAGCAUUACGAUUCUCAAUUGUAACGUCUCGAAUCGAUUGAGGACAAAUCUCUAGAAAUCUCUCCAACAGACCAUUAUGGUUCCCAACUUCAGUUAUGAUGUGCAAAGGUGUCUUACCAUUCUUUCCUUUGACACGAACUAGAUCUUUAUCAAUUUCCAAGAAACGUAGAACCAUACUUGUAUGCCCUUUUGUAACUGCAAGGUGAAGUGGGGUUAAGCCUUGUUGGUUUAGCUUCCUAGCAAAUGAUGGCUUUAAGCUCAUCAUUUCCAUUGCAAACCUAAUGCAUCCUUCUUCUGCAGCAAUGUGUAAGGGAGUUUCAACAAACUCCACCUCAUCAAAGUGCCUCAAAACAUUUCCAUCUCUUUGGAUUAAACUGUAUAGAUCACUAACAUUUCCUGUACCAGCUGCUGUUCUCAACCUUUCAUCCAUAUCAGGUGGAAGAACCAAUUGACAAAAGAAAAUUUGAAAGAGCUGAAGCCCACCUACAGUGUCUACUAUUAUUUUUAAAGAUCGCUGCUGCUUUUGUUUAUAAAGAAAGCAGAAAAGGAAUCUUUCAACUCCGCGUGCUAAUUAAUUUAGAGAAAGUUGCAUUGUUCUAAAUUUUUUAUACUAAAAGGGAACUAAUUAAAUUAAUUGGACAAAAACUUACAUAUGACAAACAUGCUAUAGGACUUAAUACCUAUACAUAUAAUUAUGUAUAAUAGGUUUUGAAGUUGGUCAUGAAAACAUGAUUAACUAUACUUUUUUAAUGCUUUUAAUGCUCAUGAAAACAUGCAUCUCAGAUGCAAUUGUUUUUCAUUCAGAAUUAUUCCAUUAUUAUUUUUAUAUAUUACAAGUUUAAACUUUCACACUAUGUACACACACGUUACUAAUAUGUGAAUUUGUGGAUUGAGCUUUGAUAUCGAACAUGAAUGAACUCACUUCAAUCAAUGGACUUACGACUUGGGUUCACCCCAUUGAUUUUUCUGUUGGUAAAGAAUUUAUCAAUAGAGUUUAAAAUAAAAUCUUACUAUGGUGGGAUCUUAUGAAAUCCUUUUUAAAUAAGCAAGGUGGUUAAAAGAUAGAAAUAAAGAUAUGUAACUAUCUAAUCAAACCACGUCAAAAACACUAAAUUUGUACCGAUGACUUCAAUCUUGUUAAAUCAGUUACUCAAUAUGUCAAUUUUCUUUAAAAAAUAAUCAUUUUAGUGUUGAAAACCAACUGAAUUGAUUAAAAAUUUAAAAAUUAAUCUUUUAAGUAUUAAAACCGAUUGAAUUGAUUAAAAAUUAAACUCAAAAUUUUCAAUGCAAAUCACAUGAUCAACAAUAAUCUUGACAUAACUAACUCAAAAUAUAAAAUUUUAACAUUUAUAUUUAAUACCAUAAAAUAGUUAUUAUAAUUAUUUUUUAAUAUAAUAAAAUAUUUAUUAGAUUUAUAGUAGUGUUUUUAAUAUAAAUAUUUUUUAAUGUAUUUUUAAUGUGUUAGAAAACUUUAAUUUUUAGCCUUUUUUUAGUGCAUUUAGAGUAUUAUAUAUUUUUAAAAAAAAUUAAAUUUAAAUAAAUAUUAUUCUAAACAAAUCAAAUAUGGAUAGGUAAGGCCAGACUCGGUUUACUUUUCAUAAAUCGGGUCAAGAUUAAGCAAAAAAGUAAGCCCGUUUUUUGGGUUAGGCACCGGCUUGAAAAAGUGAUCUAAUUACUUUGCAUAGGCCUGACCCAUGAGCACCUCUAAUAACUAUCCAUACUUUUUUAAUGCUCAUGAAAACUUGUAUAUUAGAUGCAAUUGGCUUUCCCUUAAAAUUAUCCCAUUGUUAUUUUUAUAUAAUACAAGUUUAAACUUGCACACCUACAUACGCUGUACAGGCCAAUUUUAACUACUAUUACAGAGAACCCAUUUACAAUUUUGUAAUCCCUCAACCCAAUUUCAAACCCCAUUAAAUCACUAACCCAUUAAACCCCAAAACCCAACUAGCCUACCCUAACCUAAACAGCCCAAUACCCAUUAAGCCUAACUAAUACAUCAGCCAACCCAAAAUUCAAACCCCAUUUACAACCAGAACCCAAUAUCCCUGAACCCAUAUACCCGAAGCCCAAUAACCUAACCUACCAGCCCACUAAACUAAUAGCCCAUUACACAAAAUCAGAAACAAAAAUACCUAAUCCCAAACCCUAGCCCUCCUGGCAUUCGGCGCCCACUUGCCUCUGUCACCACCGACGUCUGCCACGCCCCAUACCCCCACUACAACAGUCCCAUACCUCCACAGUCCUCGUACGCCACGCCCACACCCUGUACGCAUGACAACAGCCUCUGUACCUGCAAAAACAACAGACAAGCAAAGCAGAAGCAAGAAUAGCAAAAAAUAAUAACAAAGUAUGUAACAAAACAGGCUAUAAAAAGCCGAAUGAAACACUGUAGGGGUUCUUUUUUUGAGAUUUUUAUCAAUACAGACAUAUAUUUCAAAAGAGAAACAAAAGCCAAUAGACAGAGCAGGAAUAUCAUCCGAAACAGAUAUCAACACACACACAAAAAACACCAAAUCAGCGCACCAAACACAAAAUCGCAAAUCGAAAAUAGAAGGUGAUUUUAUAUUUAUUGUCAUUUUUAUUUAUUUUCUCACAAAUAUAUAUAUCAAAAAAUACGACAAAUAUACGGAAAUAUAAUAUAAAAAUAUAAGAAAUAAAAAAAAUAAAAAAUUGGAGUUUUUACCUCUCCGGCCACCGUGUACGGUGGCCGGCGCCGGCGAGGCUCCGGUGGCCGUCCGGUGACCGGCCCCCCGCCGGAGCUCCCUCCUUUCCCCCCUCUCCUUUUUCCCUUCUCUCUUUUCUCCCUUCUCUUUCUUUUUUUUUCUUCUCUGCUAUGCCCAAAUGAUUUUUUUUUAAAGAUUUUUGUCUUAUAUAGGGGACCAAAACGCACCGUUUUGGUCCCCCCUAACCCUUAAAACGGCACCGUUUAGGCCCAGGGUCGGGUCGACCCGACCCGCACCAGGGAGGAUCCGCGUGUUUUUCUUUGGAAGGGCUAAUUGCACUUCUAGCCCUUCCGCUUUUCUGGGAGUUUACAAUCAAUGUUUUUUUUAUUUUUAAUUUGGCCCCCAUGGUUUUGCCCCGAAUUCAUUCUGGCCCCCACGCUGCGCAGCGUUUUAAUACCUGGGUUUAUUGCGCUUUUGACCCUCCAAGUUGCACGCGUGUUACAAUUAAGUCCCUUUUCUUUGUUUUUAUUUUAAAUUGACCCCAUAACUUCGAUUUUAUUUUAAUUUUAGUCCUUUUUCUGACCUUUUCUCAUUUUUAAUGUUAUUGUAUUUAUUAUUACCUAUUACUUUAUUCUUAUUUUAUUUUUAUAUCAUUAUAUUUUAUCCACUUUUUAUAUUAUUAUUAUUAUUAUAUUAUUUUUAUUACUAUGGUUUAUCUUUACUUAUAUAUACAUAUAUAUUUUUAUGUACAUAUAGCCUUUAUAUAGUUUUUUUUAUUACUUCAUUUUAAUAUUAUCAUUAUCUUAUUUUAUUUUUAUAAUGUUUGUGUUUAUGUUAUUAUAUAUGCAUACGUUAUAUGUGUGUUUAAGGCCAUGCAUUUUAUAAUUAUGUUAUGUAUAUAGUUUGCAUAUUGCCCCAUAUAUAUAUUUUAAUAUUAUCUUUUAUGCUAUUAUAGGUAUAUUUCUAGUACCAUUAUUAUAUAUAUUUAUGUACAUACUUAUGUAAUAUGUGAACAGUUUUUUUAUUAUAUAUAUUUUAAUCUUAUUUGUCAUAUUUUUCUUUUACUCUAUUAUAUACAUGUUUCUAAUAUUAUGUUGUAUAUUCCUAAUACUAUUGUUUAUAUAUCUAUAUAUAUAUAUGUGUGUAUGUAUUUGUGUAGUGUACAAAAUAGUUUAUUAUUAUUCUUAUCAUUUCUAAGGUAUGCAUAUACUAUAUAUGUUCUAUGUAUGUUGUAUGGAUUUUUAAUAUCGCUAAAUAUAUACUUCAUCUUACACACGCAUUCUUAAUAUUAUUAUUAUGUGCAUACAUUCAUUAUUUUAAUUUCGUGUUCAAUUCUAUUAUUACAUUAUACCUUCAUCUUUUCUAAUAUUAUUGUCACCUCGAUUAUUUGUUUCAAUAUAUCCCUAGCUCUUUCAUUUAUUGAUUUUUAUUUCAUAUUAUUUUACUUUGCAUUAUUUCAAAAAUCGUAUUCUUGUUUUGCUAAUUAAUUUCAAUAACCAAGGCAACAUAUCGAUUUAACAUUAAGUCAUCGAGUUCAUCGCUACGUUGGGUGAACGUCAAUUGACUCGUGUUAAAGCGAUAUACCCUUCUCAAAAACUGGAAUAAACUAAAAUUUCUCGUCUUUUUAAUCGGAUCACAACUAAACUUUACAUUGAAUUCGUAUUUUUGAAAAUUAAGACAACAUGUGUUUAUGAGAUACCAAUUUUUGGGCGUCGCGAGGGUGCUAAUACCUUCCUCGCGCGUAACCGACUCCCAAACCCUAAUUUUCCUCUGGCUUUUAACGUAGACCUAAAUUCAGCCUUCCUUUUGUUUUAAAAAAAUAAAUCUAAUAGGUGUCCGAUCACACCUAGGAAAAAGGAUCGGUGGCGACUCCUUCUUUAUUUUAAAAUCAAACUUCAAGUUUUCAAAUUUUCAAUAAAUCGCCACAAUUAGCGACCGAAACCUAAAUUUUUACGUCGCUACAUACGCACACACUACUACAUAGGUGAACUUGUGGAUUGAACCAUGAUAUCGGGUAUGAAUGAACUCAUUUCAACUAAUGGACCUACCGCUUGAAUUCACCCCAUUGAUUUUUUUAGUUGGUAAAGAGUACUUAACAAUAGAGUUUAAAAUAAAACCUUAUCAUAGUGGGAUCGCAUGAGAUCUCUUUUAAAUCAACCGUGGUGGUUAAAAGAUAGAAAGAAUAAUAUUGCAACUAUCUGAUCAAGUCACGCCAGAAUUUGGAAAAACGCUUUUUGAUAGUAAUAAUAAACACUAUUAAACUUUUCAAAAACACUUUUUAAAACCUUUUUUUCACUUUACUUUCUAACCUCAAUAGUAAAUUAACCUUUUUAUUAUAAAAAAAAUUUGGGAAAUCUCCUAAGACUGAAAAUUAACAAAAUCAAUUGAAUGGAAAUUCUUUUAAAGGAUAAAAAAAUAAAUCGAGGUGAAGUUGAAUCCACAAGAAAUCACUCUUAUAGUAUAUAACUAGAACUGAUCAUGGGUUGGGCACUCACUCAAGCCUAAAGUACUGCCCAAAAAGUAGGAGGGUUUGAGCAAAAAUAUAGGCCAGAAAAAUAUGCUUGGCCAAAAAAUGAGGUCAUUUUUCUAAAUGGGUUGGGCCUGAGCAAUAUUUUUUGGCCUGGGCCCACUCGAAUUUUCCUAAAAGAAAUUUCAUUGUUUUGUUGUUGUUUGCUGUCAUUUUUCUAUUAUAUUGCUACUAUUUUAUUGUUAUUGUGUGGAUAUUAUAUAAUUAAUGUUUUAUUAUCAAUUUUGCUAUCAUAUUAAAGACAUAUGCUUGCGAGUUCCAACUAUCUUAGUAUUUUCAAAUAAUUGAGAAAUAUUUUUAUUUUUUAAAAUUAUUUUUAUAUAAAAAAUAAUAUUUUUUAAUACGGGUGGGUUGAGCUAAUAUCAAGUUUAAUAUUUUUUUUUAUCUAGAUCGAGGUUGAGCAAAAUUUUAAACUAUUUUUUGGACAAGACGAACCCAAAAAAUAAUUCUAAAAUUUUAUAUUAACCGGACUCUGCCUAUGAUACGUAAAUCCCACACCUAAAAUUCAAUCAAAAUGACAUUGAUGAAUCAAAGGAGACAAAAGGGAUUGAGAUGAACAUUGUUGUGAUUAUUCUCUUUGGUACAAAGAUAGCUACACUCUGAGAAACCAGUUUAGACAGAAUUUACAUAGAAAAAGGGAUAACCAGCACCCAAAGACAAUACAAUACGUAAAACCCCAUGUAAGCAUACUGAAGGAUAAACAGUAUGCUACAACUACAAUGGUUCCUUUCCAGAAUUCAUCAUAUAGGAAAAGGAAUAACCAAACUCCCUGAAUUAUAUUUUGUAAAACUAAACUUGUACCAUAAUAUUGCAACACAAAUGAAGGGGAUAACCAACAUCCCAGAAUUGCAACACUAAGUUUCGACACUCGAGAAGUGGAAACCAUGAGCACUGUUAAAAUAAAAACCAAAACCGAAAAUGUAAUCAUAACUCUAACUGUGAACUCGGUUGGCGCUAUGUAACCUAUUGAUUGGUCGAAGCAUAUUGCGAAGAAAGCAAGUAAGGCUUGAAGUGCUGUUCUGAAACAAUGGGGAUAAGGUUUAAGCAAGGCUAAUGUUAAGAAAAAGGUUACGAUGAAGACAAGAUAAGUUGGAAUAUAGAAAAUAAAAAAAUUAAUUUCAGCUAAGAUUGAUUUACCCAAUACCAUCUCAUCAUAUGACCCUUCGGACUUUGAAGUGUUAUCUCCCUGCCAAACACCACCAGGUGGGCUAAGACUAGCUUGGAAGGUUGCAGUUAGAAGCAACCCUAAAAUUACUAGUAAGGCAUUGCGGUCCUCGCCUGACAUAUUAUCUAUCUCGUGAGAGAUUAGAGAUGAUACUUUUGUCAUUUGUUUCUCGUACUUACGUUUAAAGUUUGAAACUCCUGGAAUAAAGCAACCACGUAGAACAGUAAUACUGUCUUCAUUAUGAUGUUGGUCUGCAAUAUCCAAUGCCAUCAAACCAGCUUGAUUGGUAGCGUGCUCAUCGGCGUUGCAGUUCAAUAAUAGUUUAAGCAUCUGUUUCAUUGAUAGUUUGAGAUAUAAAAGAACUACAAUCUAUGUCUAUAAAGAUUAAAAAGAAGCUGUAUUGAACUAGAUGAGUCAAACCUGGGGUCGAUCAUGAAAAGCAGCUAAGUGCAGUGCAGUGUUUCCACCUUCAUCUUUUUGGUUCACCACUUCACAAUAGUAGUCUGUCUUCUUAAGUGUUCGAAUUAGGACUUGAAGAACAUCCAGUUCGUUGUUUUCCACGGCAAUAUGCAAAGCAUUACGAUUCUCAACUGUAACGUCCCGAAUCGAUUGAGGACAAAUCUCUAGAUAUCUAUCCAACAGACCAUUAUGGUUCCCAGCUUCAGUUAUGAUGUGCAAAGGUGUCUUCCCAUUCUUUCCUUUGACACGAGCUAGAUCUUUAUUAAUUUCCAAGAAACGUAGAGCCAUACUUGUAUCCGGAUUUGUAACUGCAAGGUGAAGUGGGG
Molecule: long non-coding RNA, 7188 nt
Filed under: Gossypium barbadense (sea-island cotton)
Lineage: Eukaryota; Viridiplantae; Streptophyta; Magnoliopsida; Malvales; Malvaceae
Description: long non-coding RNA (GBAR_LNC009757)
Source: RNAcentral